Long non-coding RNA from Haliotis rubra (blacklip abalone), 107 nucleotides. RefSeq lists it as uncharacterized. The transcript has 3 exons. The record is from RefSeq and is a predicted model, not a curated record. Lineage: Eukaryota; Metazoa; Mollusca; Gastropoda; Lepetellida; Haliotidae.
AGGAAGGUUAAACAUAAACCUAAAAUAACAAAUGCAACAUUAUAAUGUGUGGAACAGUCUGGAUCCACUGGUCAGUGUUACACAUGCAAUAUUAUAAUUUGUGGACA